AACCCCCAGCAGCGGAUCUCUCGGCUCCGGCAUCGAUGAAGAACGCGGCAAAAUGCGAUACGUAAUGUGAAUUGCAGGACCCAGCGAGCCAUCGAGUUUUUGAACGCACAUUGCGCCCGCCGGUAUCCCGGCGGGCCUGCCCGUCCGAGCGUUGUCC
RNAcentral lists this ribosomal RNA (157 nucleotides) under Spathulospora adelpha. Its description in RNAcentral is "5.8S ribosomal RNA". It matches the Rfam family "5.8S ribosomal RNA". Rfam says of the family: 5.8S ribosomal RNA (5.8S rRNA) is a component of the large subunit of the eukaryotic ribosome. It is transcribed by RNA polymerase I as part of the 45S precursor that also contains 18S and 28S rRNA. The record is from RNAcentral. Lineage: Eukaryota; Fungi; Ascomycota; Sordariomycetes; Lulworthiales; Spathulosporaceae.